AACGAGACCUUAACCUGCUAAAUAGCCCGUAUUGCUUUGGCAGUACGCUGGCUUCUUAGAGGGACUAUCGGCUCAAGCCGAUGGAAGUUUGAGGCAAGAACAGGUCUGUGAUGCCCUUAGAUGUUCUGGGCCGCACGCGCGCUACACGGACGGAACAAGCGAGUUCUCCCUUGACCGGAAGGGCCGGGUAAUCUUGUGAAACUC
RNAcentral lists this ribosomal RNA (204 nucleotides) under Nectria sp. (in: ascomycete fungi). RNAcentral's name for it is "Nectria sp. (in: Fungi) partial small subunit ribosomal RNA". It matches the Rfam family "Eukaryotic small subunit ribosomal RNA", at positions 1334 to 1562 of the family's 1831-position model. Lineage: Eukaryota; Fungi; Ascomycota; Sordariomycetes; Hypocreales; Nectriaceae. The record is from RNAcentral.